AUUGAACGCUGGCGGCAGGCCUAACACAUGCAAGUCGAACGAGUGGCGGACGGGGGAGUAAGGUCUGGGAAACCGCCCGAUGGAGGGGGAUAAAUACUGGAAACGGUAGCUAAUACCGCAUACCAUCGGAUGUGCCCAGAUUGGAUUAGCUCGUAGGUGAGGUAACGGCUCACCUAGGCGACGAUCCCUAGCUGGUCUGAGAGGAUGACCAGCCACACUGGAACUGAGACACGGUCCAGACUCCUACGUGAGGCAGCAGUGGGGAAUAUUGCCCAAUGGGCGCAAGUCUGAUGCAGCCAUGCCGCGUGUAUGAAGACGGCCUUCGGGUUGUAAAGUACUUUCAGCGGGGAGGCGGUACCCGCAGAAGAAGCACCGGCUAACUCCGUGCCAGCAGCCGCGGUAAUAC
Molecule: ribosomal RNA, 406 nt
Filed under: uncultured bacterium
Lineage: Bacteria
Description: partial 16S ribosomal RNA
Rfam family: Bacterial small subunit ribosomal RNA
Source: RNAcentral